RNAcentral lists this ribosomal RNA (253 nucleotides) under uncultured bacterium. RNAcentral describes it as "partial 16S ribosomal RNA". It matches the Rfam family "Bacterial small subunit ribosomal RNA", at positions 524 to 776 of the family's 1533-position model. The record is from RNAcentral.
UACGUAGGGUGCGAGCGUUGUCCGGAAUUACUGGGCGUAAAGAGCUCGUAGGUGGUUUGUCGCGUUGUUCGUGAAAUCUCACGGCUUAACUGUGAGCGUGCGAGCGAUACGGGCAGACUGGAGUACUGCAGGGGAGACUGGAAUUCCUGGUGUAGCGGUGGAAUGCGCAGAUAUCAGGAGGAACACCGGUGGCGAAGGCGGAUCUCUGGGCCUUACCUGACGCUGAGGCGCGAAAGCUAGGGGAGCGAACAGG